This 526-nucleotide ribosomal RNA is filed under the name uncultured bacterium. RNAcentral's name for it is "bacterial SSU rRNA". It matches the Rfam family "Bacterial small subunit ribosomal RNA", at positions 355 to 896 of the family's 1533-position model. The record is from RNAcentral.
UAGGGAAUUUUACGCAAUGGGCGAAAGCCUAACGUAGCGACACCGCGUGAACGAAGAAGCCUUUUGGGGUGUAAAGUUCUGUCGGCUGGGAAGAAAAAAAUGACGGUACCAGCAAAGGAAGCAUCGGCUAACUACGUGCCAGCAGCCGCGGUAAGACGUAGGGGGCCAGCGUUGUUCGGAAUUACUGGGUGUAAAGGGUUCGUAGGCGGUGUGGCAAGUUGGGAGUGAAAUCUCUGGGCUCAACCCAGAGGCUGCUUCCAAAACUGCCGUGCUUGAGUGUGAGAGAGGCUCGUGGAAUUGCAGGUGUAGCGGUGAAAUGCGUAGAUAUCUGCAGGAACACCCGUGGCGAAAGCGGCGAGCUGGAUCACUACUGACGCUGAGGAACGAAAGCUAGGGGAGCAAACAGGAUUAGAUACCCUGGUAGUCCUAGCCCUAAACGAUCAGGACUUGGGGUGCCGCCCGUUCGGGCGUCGUCCCGGAGCUAACGCGUUAAGUCCUGCACCUGGGGAGUACGGUCGCAAGACUG